Molecule: ribosomal RNA, 1302 nt
Filed under: TM7 phylum sp. oral clone BU080
Lineage: Bacteria; Candidatus Saccharimonadota
Description: bacterial SSU rRNA
Rfam family: Bacterial small subunit ribosomal RNA
Source: RNAcentral
AGAGUUUGAUCCUGGCUCAGGAUGAACGCUAGCGGCAGGCCUAACACAUGCAAGUCGAACGGCAGCGAGGAGUGCUUGCACUCUGUCGGCGAGUGGCGAACGGCUGAGUAACGCGUAGGAACGUACCCCAAAGUGAGGGAUAAGCCCGAGAAAUCGGGUCUAAUACCGCAUAUGAUCUUCGGAUUAAAGCAUUUAUGCGCUUUGGGAACGGCCUGCGUCGGAUUAGGUUGUUGGUGAGGUAAUGGCUCACCAAGCCGACGAUCCGUAACUGGUCUGAGAGGAUGAUCAGUCAGACUGGAACUGAGACACGGUCCAGACUCCUACGGGAGGCAGCAGUGAGGAAUCUUCCACAAUGGGGGCAACCCUGAUGGAGCAACGCCGCGUGCAGGAUGAAGGCCUUCGGGUUGUAAACUGCUUUUAUUUGUGAAGAAUAUGACGGUAACAAAUGAAUAAGGAUCGGCUAACUACGUGCCAGCAGCCGCGGUCAUACGUAGGAUCCGAGCGUUAUCCGGAGUGACUGGGCGUAAAGAGUUGCGUAGGCGGUUUGUUAAGCGAAUAGUGAAAUCUGGUGGCUCAACCAUACAGACUAUUAUUCGAACUGGCAAACUCGAGAGUAGCAGAGGUAACUGGAAUUUCUAGUGUAGGAGUGAAAUCCGUAGAUAUUAGAAGGAACACCGAUGGCGUAGGCAGGUUACUGGGCUAUUUCUGACGCUAAGGCACGAAAGCGUGGGGAGCGAACCGGAUUAGAUACCCGAGUAGUCCACGCCGUAAACGAUGGAUACUAGCUGUUGGAGGUAUCGACCCCUUCAGUAGCGAAGCUAACGCGUUAAGUAUCCCGCCUGUGUAGUACGAUCGCAAGAUUAAAACAUAAAGGAAUUGACGGGGACCCGCACAAGCGGUGGAGCGUGUUCUUUAAUUCGAUGAUAAACGAAGAACCUUACCCAGGCUUGACAUCCCUUGAAUUUUGUCGAAAGACGAAAGUGCUUUUAGAACAAGGUGACAGGUGUUGCAUGGCCGUCGUCAGCUCGUGUCGUGAGAUGUUUGGUUAAGUCCAUCAACGAGCGCAACCCUUAUGAAUAGUUGUAUUUUUCUAUUCAGACUGCCCCGGUAACGGGGAGGAAGGAGGGGAUGACGUCAGGUCAGUAUUGCCCUUACGUCUGGGGCUAGAAACGCGCUACAAUGGCUGGUACAAUGCGCAGCGAAGCGGUGACGUGAAGCAAAUCGCAUCAAAGCCAGUCCCAGUUCGGAUUGUAGGCUGAAACUCGCCUGCAUGAAGUCGGAAUCGCUAGUAAUCGCAGAUCA